GGCUUCCUGGUGCCAAUUUCAGAUAAAGAGCAUACAUCCUUCAUUCAUCUAUGAGGCAGCAAACCCUUCAAGGGCUAAACUAUUUCCUCCUCCUGUUGGUCAGAUGCCCCACCCUCCCAGCCUAGUACAGGAUCUGGCCAACAGCAGACCAUCAGUGGAUGUGUGCUGAGGAAAUAAACUUGCCUAACAAACGAUUUAAACUCCUCUCUUAUAAAUCCUAACUCUGCAUCUGACCAAGGUUCAUAGGCUAGAUUUAGAGUUGUCCAGUAAUUGUAUAGAAUUUCAACAUUACCGGGUAAUUAAUAAGCAUCUGUCCAGUUCUUAAGAUUAUUAUAUGGAAGAAUAAAUGUAAGUUUUAACAAAUUUAUCUUCCUUAAUUAUUGUAAAUGCACAGAUUUAUGGAUAUAAUGGGUAUAAAGCAUCUAACCAACUGUUAAUAUCUAUCAUAAAAAUACAUUUGACUAAGGAAUAAUAGCAUUGAAAGUCAUAGACGACCUUAAAGAGGCAAUUUCACUGUCAGUAUGUAUUUCAUGGAGCACAGCCAUUAAAACUACUCUGCAGUGAAUGAUUAGGGAAAUCAGUUACAUUAAUUUAGGAAGAUUCAAAUGCUACUCACAUUCAUAAAACCUCUAAUGGGACAGCACAUUCUUCCAACAAAGCAGGGGUCAUAAUCACAUGGGUUCUGUACCUGCACACCUAGGUCUUGGCUACAGUAAAAUUGCUCCUAUCUGAUGCUCAGUCCAUGCUCAUAGAGUCAAAACUGUGGCAAAGCUCAGAGUUCCCAUUGCCUCAGCAGGUUAAGAAGCCGACACAGUGUCUGUGAAGAUGCAGGUUCAAUCCCUGGCCUUGCUCAAUGGGUUAAGAAUCUGGGGUUGCCACAAGUUGAGGAAUAGGUUAAAGAUGUGGCUUGGAUCUGGUGUUGCUGUGGCUGUAGGCUGGCAGCUGCAGCUGACUGAACCCCUAGCCCAGAAAUUUCCAUAUGCCACAUGUGCGGCCAUAAAAAUUUAAAUAGAUGUUUUUUAACUUUAAAAAGACUAUGGCAGAGCAAAUAAUUCUAACGGAAGUGGAUGCUUCUCAAAAUUUACUACCAUUUCACCCCUAACACAUCACUACCCAACCCCUGGGAAUAAUCAUCAUUUUUUGGUCAAGAUGAAAAUGAAAGCAAGCUUUUAAAUGGCUAUUUUGUUUAGAUUUUCUGAGACUGGAGCAAAGAUGCCAAUAAAACCCCAUUAAGGCAGGUCUAUCUCUAAUGUAAGUAAUAUCUUCUCAGUUGAAAACUGAAGAUCAUUCUCCCUGAACAGCAAGAAGGCAGUCAAUGGAAAGUCCUUGCUGAUGGAGCAAAUGGGUAUAAUGGAACCUGUUAAAAAAGUGGGGUUCACAUUGUGGCACAGCAGAAACGAAUCUGACUAGGAACCAUGAGGUUGCAGGUUCAAUCCCUGGCCUUGCUCAGUGGGUUAAAGUUCCGGCAUUGCCAUGAGCUGUGGUAUAGGUUGCAGAUGCGGAUCGAAUCCUGCAUUGCUGUGGCUCUGGCAUAGGCCGGCGGCUACAGCUCCAAUUCGACCCCUAGCCUGAAGAACCUCCAUAUGCCAUGGGUGCAGCCCUAAAAAAAAAAUCCCCAAAGUGAUACAGGAAGAUAAACAUACCGGUAGUACUAAGCUCACAGCUAGGGAUGAAGAAAUCCCUGAAAGAGUUUUGAGCUGAUGGCCUCACACCUUGCAAUAUUUUUUCAAUAUGGCUAUGAUGUGCCAUUUUCUAUCACGUGCUCCAGAAUAUGCCAGCCCCAAAGUAUCCAACCCCCUGACCUGAGAGAAGGGGCUGGGAGGUUUGGAGGAAGGGACCAGGCCUUGUUGUUCUGACAUGUCCCAUAAACCUGUGUGGAGUUCAGGGUAGGGUAAACUGCGUGGUUUUUGGAAUCUGAGGAGAUUGUAAGAAACAGCAGCUCAAGGGACUGUUAGACCAAGCCUGGUCUGCAAAAUAAGGACGAUUCCUAGAGGGAAAAUACAGGCAAGACUUAAGACAUGAGCACUGUGUGCUCCACAGCAGUGCAGCAGGAUGUUCAGAUAGGAGACCCCAGGGCCUGUGGCCUGAUAUAUGAGGCACAGGGUUCUCCCUCACAGCACACACCCUCUCCCCAAAGUUCCAGCUCCUACUAAGAAGUUACAAGUGUCUAAAUAGGUUAGAAUAAAAAUAAAAUCUAGUAAUUAUAAGCAUAAAUUUAUAUUUCUAAGUUUCUAUCAAGAUAAAAACAAAAAUAAAUAAAUUAUGAUGGUAACCUGUUAACAACCACAUCAGAUAUCUGAUUAUACCCACCACCACCCCCUCCACCCAAACACUCCCUCCCCAUCUCCUCUUUAUAGCUCCAUCAUUUAAGUUUAUAUAAGCUCAGAAAUUCUUGGAGCAGCAGAGCUUUCUCAUAUUCUGAAAUUUCCCCAAGAAAAAGCAAACAUAGACUCUCAAGAGCUACUACAAAUGGCAUGAAUCCCCAGGCUCCUGCUGUGUUGACAAAAUUCUGCAGGCGCAAAUGGACUUCGUCAGAAAGAGCCCUGGUUACUAUAAUUCUUUAAUAGUGACAUUUUUCAAUCAUAUAUCAUGUUGACCACCAAGUUCCUCUGACAGGAGAGAAUUCUGAUAGUAAACUGUUUCAGCCACUCUGGGGGUGGGAAGAGGGAAACAAACACAAAACACAAAAGCCUGCACAGCAAUACAGCCCAAAAGGUUGACUUUUCAUUUACUUCUAUCUCUGGAUAGAAGAGCACUAUAAGCUCCAGCAUUAAAUUUUAAACAUUUAAUGCUGGAGGAUCAAGCAGAAGCUGCAGAAGUGUUCAGAGUCAUCGACCACUGGUCUUGCUGUGAAUUUUCAGCAAGGAAAAGAAGGGUCCUGCUUGAAGAGAAUGCAACAUUGGCCAGAACGUAAAGCAUCUAUUUCUGGAGAUCUGUAAAAUACCAUUAACCGAUUUUAGUUUAGAAUAUAUAGACAUGUGACCCUCAAGAAGGUCAAUACUCACUAGACUAUGAUUUGCUGUAGUGACAGAAGCUAAAUCUUAUUUUAACUACCACUCAAAGAUGGAAAGGACUGUGAUUUCUUUGAAAUUGCUAUGGUUAGAAUGAAAUACACUUAAUAUAGCAAGUUAAUAAUGCAGUAUUUCACAUUAAAUGAAGUUAUAAUGGGUCUUUUAUAGUCAGGCAUUGUGCCUGAUAAAUUGUUGACAUGAUAAAUAUAGAAUAAUAACCCAAAAUGUCUUUUUGCUCUCUUAGUCCUUCAAAUGAAAGCAAUCUGAAUCACUUACUCUUGUGACUAUAAUACAAAUUUUUGGUUUUCUAGCAGAAGGUCCUUCUCUGUAACUGUACAGACUGGUACAUAAAAAAUUAGUCUUGGAAAGAAAAAGAAUAGUGAUAUCAAUCAUUAAAAGAGAGUAACGAUGUUUUACCUCUCUCUAAUGUGUCACAGGUUUUCAGUCAUUCAUUCACUGAGUAUUUCAGGACCUCUUACUGUAUGCUGUGCUGUUAGGAUGGUGGUGACCAAAACAAACUCAUCUUGGGUUACAUGGAACAAAACCUGUCACACAUCCUAGAAAGACAGACAGAGCAAGGGUUGAUACCCACUGGCUCAGUCUCAUCAGUUCCUCUUUUUCAUUGUUAUGCUUGGAACAGAGGUUCACAGGAGCCUCUUAUGAAAGGGGCUGCUUACUGGAAGGACACACAAGAGUUUUGAGGGAUUUCCAAGAACAGCAACAGGCAUGGGUCAGGCUUCCUAGGAUCUGUAAUUGGAAGCAUGGCAGCCAUAAAUCUCCAUUGGCUUAUUUUGCUUAUUUUACACCAGGUGUCAGCCACAUCUAGGACUCAGCCACUCUCUGUUGCUCUGCUCUGCUCACCUUUUGUUGGGAUACAUCGAUUACAGAAAGGCAGUAGAAGGUAGCUGGUCAACAAGCAGACUCUGGAGCCCAAAAGCCCAGGUUUACAUGCCAGCUCUGCUACUUAUUAGCUGUGUGACAGCGAAGAUAUUCAUUAACUUUUCUGUAUCUUAGUUUCCUCAUCUGGAAAGUGGGUAUAUUAAUAGAACCUACCUCAUAAAAUUGUUGAAGAAUUCACUGACAUACAUCAUAUAAAGCACUUGGUAUGGUACUUCUAAAGCAGUAGAAGUUGUGAUAAUAAACAGUGACAUAGGAUUUAGUGAAGUGCCUACACUAAUUUUUCCAUGUAUUAAUUUAUGUAAUCCUCACAACAACCCUAUGAUGAAAAUAAUACUAAGCCUCAUUUUACUGACAACAAACCAGAGCCUUAGAAAAGUUAAAUAAAUUGCUGAAGAUCACACUGCUUACAAGUAUCCACACCUAUUUCACUCCAAAACCUGGGGUCAUAAUGACUUGCUAAUAACAUAAUAACUGGCUUAGUCUUAUUCCUGAAUCUGCAAUUUUUUUUCCUAACCUCAAUGUUGCUUCAUUGAAGGGCUCCUAACUCCCACUUAUCAUGACCUCUCUUGGCCCCAGUUCUACUCCAGGGCUCUCCUCUAUGUUUCUAAGUCCAAAUCCCAGUCCAUCUUUUCAUGGCAAAUCCCUCAAAGUUUGCUAAACUACCUCUGUCAGUGUCUACACUGGUCCAGUCUGCUAUGACUAUAGUAUGUGUUUCAAACAAGACCAAAUAGAAGAGGCUAUGUACAUGGCAGACAGUAUGACUGACAUUUGUAAUGUACUCAUUCUAUGGAUACCACAAUAGAGGCUUUUAAAAGUCUGGUAGCUAAUCCAGAGUUAUUCUCUCAACUGUCACCAGGGGUAGGAUUCCAAUCUGGGAUUUUUGACUCCAUGACCGUGAACCUUUCAUGUUUUCUCUGGGAUGUUUUUCUCUGUGUAUGUAAAGGCCUAAUUCUCAAUGACUUGGAGCCAUCACUCUACUCAAAAGUAACUAAAGCCAAAAUUAAAUUAAACUAC
Molecule: long non-coding RNA, 4925 nt
Filed under: Sus scrofa (pig)
Lineage: Eukaryota; Metazoa; Chordata; Mammalia; Artiodactyla; Suidae
Description: lncRNA (ENSSSCG00000054617.1)
Source: RNAcentral